ACGUAGGACACAAGCGUUAUCCGGAGUUACUGGGCGUAAAGAGCGCGUAGGCGGUUUGUUAAGUCUGCUAUGAAAGCACCUGGCUAAACUGGGUGAGGCUGGCGGAUACUGGCAAGCUAGAGUGAGACAGAGGCAGAUGGAAUUCCGCGUGUAGUGGUGAAAUGCGUAGAGAUGCGGAGGAACACCAGUGGCGAAGGCGGUCUGCUGGGUCUCAACUGACGCUGAGGCGCGAAAGCGUGGGUAGCGAACGGGA
This 253-nucleotide ribosomal RNA is filed under the name uncultured prokaryote. RNAcentral describes it as "partial 16S ribosomal RNA". It matches the Rfam family "Bacterial small subunit ribosomal RNA", at positions 525 to 777 of the family's 1533-position model. The record is from RNAcentral.